This 71-nucleotide transfer RNA is filed under the name Cyclocheilichthys janthochir. RNAcentral's name for it is "tRNA-Trp". It matches the Rfam family "tRNA". From Rfam's summary of the family: Transfer RNA (tRNA) molecules are approximately 80 nucleotides in length. Their secondary structure includes four short double-helical elements and three loops (D, anti-codon, and T loops). Lineage: Eukaryota; Metazoa; Chordata; Actinopteri; Cypriniformes; Cyprinidae. The record is from RNAcentral.
AGGGAUUUAGGUUAACACCAGACCAAAAGCCUUCAAAGCCUUUAGUAGAAGUGAAAAUCUUCUAAUCCCUG